GCUGGCGGCGUGCCUAAUACAUGCAAGUCGAGCGAACGGACGAGAAGCUUGCUUCUCUGAUGUUAGCGGCGGGCGGGUGAGUAACACGUGGAUAACCUACCUAUAAGACUGGGAUAACUUCGGGAAACCGGAGCUAAUACCGGAUAAUAUUUUGAACCGCAUGGUUCAAAAGUGAAAGGCGGUCUUGCUGUCACUUAUAGAUGGAUCCGCGCUGCAUUAGCUAGUUGGUAAGGUAACGGCUUACCAAGGCAACGAUGCAUAGCCGACCUGAGAGGGUGAUCGGCCACACUGGAACUGAGACACGGUCCAGACUCCUACGGGAGGCAGCAGUAGGGAAUCUUCCGCAAUGGGCGAAAGCCUGACGGAGCAACGCCGCGUGAGUGAUGAAGGUCUUCGGAUCGUAAAACUCUGUUAUUAGGGAAGAACAUAUGUGUAAGUAACUGUGCACAUCUUGACGGUACCUAAUCAGAAAGCCACGGCUAACUACGUGCCAGCAGCCGCGGUAAUACGUAGGUGGCAAGCGUUAUCCGGAAUUAUUGGGCGUAAAGCGCGCGUAGGCGGUUUUUUAAGUCUGAUGUGAAAGCCCACGGCUCAACCGUGGAGGGUCAUUGGAAACUGGAAAACUUGAGUGCAGAAGAGGAAAGUGGAAUUCCAUGUGUAGCGGUGAAAUGCGCAGAGAUAUGGAGGAACACAGUGGCGAAGGCGACUUUCUGGUCUGUAACUGACGCUGAUGUGCGAAAGCG
This 743-nucleotide ribosomal RNA is filed under the name uncultured bacterium. RNAcentral describes it as "bacterial SSU rRNA". It matches the Rfam family "Bacterial small subunit ribosomal RNA", at positions 35 to 761 of the family's 1533-position model. The record is from RNAcentral.